CUAUUGUUUUGUUGGUGUAUUUGGUCAUGCUGGAACUCAAUUCUUUUUAAAGGUAAUGCCCUUGUUAAGUUGGAAGUGUUGAGUUUUAUGAAGGCAUUAUCUUGGGAUUGAUUCAUGGAUUUUCAUAGAAGAUGGAGGAAUAUUUCUCGGUCCGAUCGGUAUAGUAACCCCGGUAAGUGUUGGGUGUAUUUCCUUUCUUUUAGAGUUUCUUGUCGGUGGUUUUGAGGCUGAGUUUGUUGUAGGUUUGAUAUUUUGGAUUUCUCCUUUUGGUUUCUUGGUUAUAUAAGGGUGAGCACCCCUAGUACUCAUUUUUAAUUCCAAAUUAUCUCUUGCUUAUAAUUUUUUUUACAUAAAUUAUAUAAUAAUGACGUUAUAAUAGUUACAUGUAGUUGAUCAUACAAGAACACAAUGUUGACGAUAUAUUUCAACCUGA
This 433-nucleotide long non-coding RNA is filed under the name Lathyrus oleraceus (garden pea). RNAcentral describes it as "Pisum sativum (pea) long non-coding RNA (PSAT_LNC017504)". Lineage: Eukaryota; Viridiplantae; Streptophyta; Magnoliopsida; Fabales; Fabaceae. The record is from RNAcentral.